RNAcentral lists this ribosomal RNA (223 nucleotides) under Pseudomonas aeruginosa. Its description in RNAcentral is "partial 23S ribosomal RNA". It matches the Rfam family "Bacterial large subunit ribosomal RNA", at positions 1103 to 1327 of the family's 2925-position model. Lineage: Bacteria; Pseudomonadati; Pseudomonadota; Gammaproteobacteria; Pseudomonadales; Pseudomonadaceae. The record is from RNAcentral.
GGCUUAGAAGCAGCCACCCUUUAAAGAAAGCGUAAUAGCUCACUAGUCGAGUCGGCCUGCGCGGAAGAUGUAACGGGGCUCAAACCACACACCGAAGCUGCGGGUGUCACGCAAGUGACGCGGUAGAGGAGCGUUCUGUAAGCCUGUGAAGGUGAGUUGAGAAGCUUGCUGGAGGUAUCAGAAGUGCGAAUGCUGACAUGAGUAACGACAAUGGGUGUGAAAA